CUGCUAAUUGUGCAGCUUCUCUUUUAGGAUUGGCUGCUGUUCCUAUCCGUAAUACAAUUAAAACAAACGGGGGAAAGCCCCCCCCCCCUUUCCGGCACAGACAGAGGUUAAUGCGAGUAUUUAACAAUGCUUUGCUGUCCUUUGGUGUUCACACUUUUCCCUACAUCAGACCAGUUUCUCCUUGACUUAGCCCGCCCAGUUAGAAGCCACCUUUGGGUCAACCCAAUGGGGUCCACAGCUUCAUGCCGGCCAUCGAGUGCAGCUUGACUGAGUUAAAACCGGAGCUAAAACCGGAGUGAGUGUGGAGCGUUUGGGAGUGCAUGUCUGAGGGAGACCUAAGGAGGGCGCACCUCAGCAGAGUCUCUCGUCUCCCCUUCCUUGAGGGCGCCCAAAGGUACCAACAGGAGUCUGUCCUCAAGGUGCAGGUCAAGGCGCAUCCCCAGGACACUCCUUGGCUUUGGGACACUCCUCUUGGGCCUUUAAACGAUGGAUUAGCGAGUUUCAGGCACUGGAGAGGAUCUGGGCAGGCUAAAAUCUGUGGCAGAAAGACUGUACGUCUUCCCAGUCAACCUGCUCCUACAUUCUCCAUAGCCACACACAUCGCCUGUUUCUCUGUCCUGCCUUCUAAUUUCCCUCCACCCAUAGUCCUUUAGUUAAUCAGAAAAAGCCCUCCAAAGUUGAUUCCAUCUUCAUUCAAUCUCAGACCUUCAAGUAUUGCUAAAAAUACAGAGGAGGCUCAUUAAAGUUUCUCUUCGUGAAUUUUUUGGAGGGAGGGGAGGGGAAUGCCUGGUUUGCUGUGUGCAUCGAGCAAGAUCUAUGCAGAAUGCCUCUUCGGGGGACUGGCAUGGCAUCACCGGGGAUACCAAGGGUCGGAACAGAUAAUGCCUCUGUGACUCAGAUCCUCCUCCUCCUUUGGGUUGAAAUUAUGAAGUGCAUCAAGACCAAGGAGACCCACGGGGUGAUUCAUGACGUUCCACUGUGCUCAAGUCGAAGACAUAAUGGAAGCUUGAUCAUCUCUUCUUUACCAACCUUACCUACUUUGUCCAGUUUUAGGUCUUGUUUUAACACCCACUCUGUCCUGUAUUUUGUUUUAUUUUUACUGAUGUGCCUAAUAAAGGCCAGCUGAAGUUGUGGCCCCUUCCACGCAUGCAGAAUAAUGCACUUUCAAUCUAUUUUUACACUGUGCGGAAUAGCAAAAUAUGCUUGCAUACAGUUGUGAAAGUGGAUUGAGAAUCCAUUAUUCUGCAUGGGUGGAAGGGGCAUGAGCUAUGCGUGUAGGUUUGGGCUCUUGCGGAUCCGUGCUGUCUGCUAGGUUGUUUGAUGUCAAAGGGAAACCACAGAGAUUCCAUUUAGAUUGCCCUGCCUCCACAGGAAUAGGAUUUUCUGCACAGGGAUCUUAUGAGAUCACUCUGUUGUCCCACAUACUCAUUCAUGUGCAGUUUCCCGAGGAAACAGGUGAAUUUUGGAAGAAGACAAUAACCCUGUAGCACUUUACUCAGAGAUUAGAAAUCCAAUUGUAUUAACGGAUGGUUUCCCCACCUAAGGCUCCGAUUCAAAACGCAUUCAGAUGCCAUUUACAAUUCAUGGAACUCUUGAGUGUGAAUGAGCAUACACUUUUAGGAUCGAGCUGCUUGGUCCAGUGGUGUUUAACUGGAAAUAAUAGGAUGGAGAGCAAGUGCUUAAUUUUAACUGGGCUGGGAACUGUGCCGGUCGGUUUUUAUAGGAUUGCUUUCAAUAUGGUAACAGAAUAAAGAAUUGCAAGAUGGAAUCCCAGAAUUCCACUUUCUCCA
Sphaerodactylus townsendi is the source of this 1790-nucleotide long non-coding RNA. RefSeq lists it as uncharacterized. The transcript is spliced from 3 exons. NCBI's taxonomy places the organism in Eukaryota, Metazoa, Chordata, Lepidosauria, Squamata, Sphaerodactylidae. The record is from RefSeq and is a predicted model, not a curated record.